RNAcentral lists this ribosomal RNA (1193 nucleotides) under Cutibacterium acnes. RNAcentral's name for it is "bacterial SSU rRNA". It matches the Rfam family "Bacterial small subunit ribosomal RNA", at positions 106 to 1311 of the family's 1533-position model. Lineage: Bacteria; Bacillati; Actinomycetota; Actinomycetes; Propionibacteriales; Propionibacteriaceae. The record is from RNAcentral.
GUGAGUAACACGUGAGUAACUGCCCUUGACUUUGGGAUAACUUCAGGAAACUGGGGCUAAUACCGGGAUAGGAGCUCUGCUGCAUGGUGGGGGUUGGAAAGUUUCGGCGGUUGGGGAUGGACUCGCGGCUUAUCAGCUUGUUGGUGGGGUAGUGGCUUACCAAGGCUUUGACGGGUAGCCGGCCUGAGAGGGUGACCGGCCACAUUGGGACUGAGAUACGGCCCAGACUCCUACGGGAGGCAGCAGUGGGGAAUAUUGCACAAUGGGCGGAAGCCUGAUGCAGCAACGCCGCGUGCGGGAUGACGGCCUUCGGGUUGUAAACCGCUUUCGCCUGUGACGAAGCGUGAGUGACGGUAAUGGGUAAAGAAGCACCGGCUAACUACGUGCCAGCAGCCGCGGUGAUACGUAGGGUGCGAGCGUUGUCCGGAUUUAUUGGGCGUAAAGGGCUCGUAGGUGGUUGAUCGCGUCGGAAGUGUAAUCUUGGGGCUUAACCCUGAGCGUGCUUUCGAUACGGGUUGACUUGAGGAAGGUAGGGGAGAAUGGAAUUCCUGGUGGAGCGGUGGAAUGCGCAGAUAUCAGGAGGAACACCAGUGGCGAAGGCGGUUCUCUGGGCCUUUCCUGACGCUGAGGAGCGAAAGCGUGGGGAGCGAACAGGCUUAGAUACCCUGGUAGUCCACGCUGUAAACGGUGGGUACUAGGUGUGGGGUCCAUUCCACGGGUUCCGUGCCGUAGCUAACGCUUUAAGUACCCCGCCUGGGGAGUACGGCCGCAAGGCUAAAACUCAAAGGAAUUGACGGGGCCCCGCACAAGCGGCGGAGCAUGCGGAUUAAUUCGAUGCAACGCGUAGAACCUUACCUGGGUUUGACAUGGAUCGGGAGUGCUCAGAGAUGGGUGUGCCUCUUUUGGGGUCGGUUCACAGGUGGUGCAUGGCUGUCGUCAGCUCGUGUCGUGAGAUGUUGGGUUAAGUCCCGCAACGAGCGCAACCCUUGUUCACUGUUGCCAGCACGUUAUGGUGGGGACUCAGUGGAGACCGCCGGGGUCAACUCGGAGGAAGGUGGGGAUGACGUCAAGUCAUCAUGCCCCUUAUGUCCAGGGCUUCACGCAUGCUACAAUGGCUGGUACAGAGAGUGGCGAGCCUGUAAGGGUGAGCGAAUCUCGGAAAGCCGGUCUCAGUUCGGAUUGGGGUCUGCAAC